RNAcentral lists this ribosomal RNA (253 nucleotides) under uncultured Armatimonadota bacterium. Its description in RNAcentral is "uncultured Armatimonadetes bacterium partial 16S ribosomal RNA". It matches the Rfam family "Bacterial small subunit ribosomal RNA", at positions 524 to 776 of the family's 1533-position model. Lineage: Bacteria; Bacillati; Armatimonadota. The record is from RNAcentral.
UACGUAGGGGGCGAGCGUUGUCCGGAAUUACUGGGCGUAAAGGGCGCGUAGGCGGUUCGCUAAGUCCGUUGUGAAAGACCGAGGCUCAACCUCGGGGUGUCAACGGAGACUGGUGGACUCGAGUGUCGGAGAGGAGCGGGGAAUCCCUGGUGUAGCGGUGGAAUGCGUAGAGAUCAGGGGGAACACCGAUGGCGAAGGCACCGCUCUGGCCGAACACUGACGCUGAGGCGCGAAAGCUGGGGGAGCGAACGGG